GAUGAACGCUGACAGAAUGCUUAACACAUGCAAGUCAACUUGAACUUCGGUUUGGGUGGCGGACGGGUGAGUAACGCGUAAAGAACUUGCCUCACAGAUAGGGACAACAUUUGGAAACGAAUGCUAAUACCUGAUAUUAUGAUUAUAUGGCAUCGUAUAAUUAUGAAAGCUAUAUGCGCUGUGAGAGAGCUUUGCGUCCCAUUAGCUAGUUGGAGAGGUAACGGCUCACCAAGGCGAUGAUGGGUAGCCGGCCUGAGAGGGUGAUCGGCCACAAGGGGACUGAGACACGGCCCUUACGCCUACGGGAGGCAACAGUGGGGAAUAUUGGACAAUGGACCAAGAGUCUGAUCCAGCAAUUCUGUGUGCACGAUGAAGUUUUUCGGAAUGUAAAGUGCUUUCAGUUGGGAAGAAAAAAAUGACGGUACCAACAGAAGAAGUGACGGCUAAAUACGUG
This 454-nucleotide ribosomal RNA is filed under the name uncultured bacterium. RNAcentral describes it as "partial 16S ribosomal RNA". It matches the Rfam family "Bacterial small subunit ribosomal RNA", at positions 28 to 507 of the family's 1533-position model. The record is from RNAcentral.